This 253-nucleotide ribosomal RNA is filed under the name uncultured bacterium. RNAcentral describes it as "partial 16S ribosomal RNA". It matches the Rfam family "Bacterial small subunit ribosomal RNA", at positions 524 to 776 of the family's 1533-position model. The record is from RNAcentral.
UACGAAGGGGGCUAGCGUUGCUCGGAAUUACUGGGCGUAAAGCGCACGUAGGCGGCUUUCUAAGUCAGGGGUGAAAUCCUGGAGCUCAACUCCAGAACUGCCUUUGAUACUGGGAAGCUUGAGUUCGGGAGAGGUGAGUGGAACUGCGAGUGUAGAGGUGAAAUUCGUAGAUAUUCGCAAGAACACCAGUGGCGAAGGCGGCUCACUGGCCCGAUACUGACGCUGAGGGGCGAAAGCGUGGGGAGCAAACAGG